This 244-nucleotide ribosomal RNA is filed under the name uncultured Staphylococcus sp. RNAcentral's name for it is "partial 16S ribosomal RNA". It matches the Rfam family "Bacterial small subunit ribosomal RNA", at positions 96 to 334 of the family's 1533-position model. Lineage: Bacteria; Bacillati; Bacillota; Bacilli; Caryophanales; Staphylococcaceae. The record is from RNAcentral.
CGGCGGACGGGUGAGUAACACGUGGAUAACCUACCUAUAAGACUGGGAUAACUUCGGGAAACCGGAGCUAAUACCGGAUAAUAUAUUGAACCGCAUGGUUCAAUAGUGAAAGACGGUUUUGCUGUCACUUAUAGAUGGAUCCGCGCCGCAUUAGCUAGUUGGUAAGGUAACGGCUUACCAAGGGAACGAUGCGUAGCCGACCUGAGAGGGUGAUCGGCCACACUGGAACUGAGACACGGUCCAG